ACUCCUACGGGAGGCAGCAGUGGGGAAUAUUGGACAAUGGGGGAAACCCUGAUCCAGCAAUGCCGCGUGUGUGAAGAAGGCCUGAGGGUUGUAAAGCACUUUUAGUCGUGAGGAAAUGCUGAUGGUUAAUACCUAUUAGUUUUGACGUUAGCGACAGAAAAAGCACCGGCUAACUCUGUGCCAGCAGCCGCGGUAAUACAGAGGGUGCAAGCGUUAAUCGGAUUGACUGGGCGUAAAGGGCGCGUAGGUGGUUAUUUAAGUUAGAUGUGAAAUCCCUGGGCUUAACCUAGGAACUGCAUUUAAUACUGGGU
This 311-nucleotide ribosomal RNA is filed under the name uncultured bacterium. Its description in RNAcentral is "bacterial SSU rRNA". It matches the Rfam family "Bacterial small subunit ribosomal RNA", at positions 335 to 638 of the family's 1533-position model. The record is from RNAcentral.